This 352-nucleotide ribosomal RNA is filed under the name uncultured bacterium. Its description in RNAcentral is "partial 16S ribosomal RNA". It matches the Rfam family "Bacterial small subunit ribosomal RNA", at positions 338 to 682 of the family's 1533-position model. The record is from RNAcentral.
CCUACGGGUGGCAGCAGUGGGGAAUAUUGCGCAAUGGGCGAAAGCCUGACGCAGCGACGCCGCGUGAGGGAUGAAGGUCUUCGGAUCGUAAAACUCUGUCAGCAGGGAAGAACGGUCACUGGGCUAAACAGCAGUGAAUAGACGGUACCGGCAAAGGAAGCACCGGCUAACUCCGUGCCAGCAGCCGCGGUAAUACGGAGGGUGCGAGCGUUAAUCGGAAUUACUGGGCGUAAAGCGCUCGUAGGCGGUAUGUCAAGUCAAGGGUGAAAUCCCCGCGCUCCACGUGGGAACUGCCUUUGAAACUGGCAACCUGGAGUGUGUUAGCGGCUAGUGGAAUUCCCGGUGUAGUCGU